RNAcentral lists this ribosomal RNA (380 nucleotides) under uncultured Alphaproteobacteria bacterium. Its description in RNAcentral is "bacterial SSU rRNA". It matches the Rfam family "Bacterial small subunit ribosomal RNA", at positions 9 to 419 of the family's 1533-position model. Lineage: Bacteria; Pseudomonadati; Pseudomonadota; Alphaproteobacteria. The record is from RNAcentral.
GAGUUUGAUCCUGGCUCAGAACGAACGCUGGCGGCAGGCCUCAAACAUGCAAGUCUAGGGGGUAGCAAUACCACCGGCGGACGGGUGCGUAACACGUGGGAAUAUACCUUUUGGUUCGGAACAACGCAGGGAAACUUGCGCUAAUACCGAAUGUGCCCUUACGGGGAAAGAUUUAUCGCCAAAGGAUUAGCCCGCGUCCGAUUAGCUAGUUGGUGAGGUAAUGGCUCACCAAGGCUCCGAUCGGUAGCUGUUCUGAGAGGAAGAUCAGCCACACUGGGACUGAGACACGGCCCAGACUCCUACGGGAGGCAGCAGUUGGGAAUCUUGGACAAUGGGGGAAACCCUGAUCCAGCCAUGCCGCGUGAGUGAUGAAGGCCUUC